GACGAACGCUGGCGGCGUGCUUAACACAUGCAAGUCGAACGGAAAGGCCCUGCUUUUGUGGGGUGCUCGAGUGGCGAACGGGUGAGUAACACGUGAGUAACCUGCCCUUGACUUUGGGAUAACUUCAGGAAACUGGGGCUAAUACCGGAUAGGAGCUCCUGCUGCAUGGUGGGGGUUGGAAAGUUUCGGCGGUUGGGGAUGGACGCGCGGCUUAUCAGCUUGUUGGUGGGGUAGUGGCUUACCAAGGCUUUGACGGGUAGCCGGCCUGGGAGGGUGACCGGCCACAUUGGGACUGAGAUACGGCGCAGACUGCUACGGGAGGCAGCAGGGGGGAAUAUUGCACAAUGGGCGGGAGCCUGAUGCAGCAACGCCGCGUGCGGGAUGACGGCCUUCUGGUUGUAAACCGCUUUCGCCUGUGACGAAGCGUGAGUGACGGUAAUGGGUAAAGAAGCACCGGCUAACUACGUG
Molecule: ribosomal RNA, 468 nt
Filed under: uncultured bacterium
Lineage: Bacteria
Description: partial 16S ribosomal RNA
Rfam family: Bacterial small subunit ribosomal RNA
Source: RNAcentral